UGGGGAAUUUUGGACAAUGGGCGAAAGCCUGAUCCAGCAAUGCCGCGUGUGUGAAGAAGGCCUUCGGGUUGUAAAGCACUUUUGUCCGGAAAGAAAUCCUCUGGGUUAAUACCUCGGGGGGAUGACGGUACCGGAAGAAUAAGCACCGGCUAACUACGUGCCAGCAGCCGCGGUAAUACGUAGGGUGCAAGCGUUAAUCGGAAUUACUGGGCGUAAAGCGUGCGCAGGCGGUUUUGUAAGACGGAUGUGAAAUCCCCGGGCUUAACGGAGCAUGCAUUCGUGACUGCAAGGCUAGAGUAUGGCAGAGGGGGUAGAAUUCCACGUGUAGCAGUGAAAUGCGUAGAGAUGUGGAGGAAUACCGAUGGCGAAGGCAGCCCCCUGGGCCAAUACUGACGCUCAUGCACGAAAGCGUGGGGAGCAAACAGGAUUAGAUACCCUGGUAGUCCACGCCCUAAACGAUGUCAACUAGUUGUUGGGGAUUCAUUUCCUUAGUAACGUAGCUAACGCGUGAAGUUGACCGCCUGGGGAGUACGGUCGCAAGAUUAAAACUUAAAGGAAUUGAC
Molecule: ribosomal RNA, 563 nt
Filed under: uncultured bacterium
Lineage: Bacteria
Description: partial 16S ribosomal RNA
Rfam family: Bacterial small subunit ribosomal RNA
Source: RNAcentral